GGAUUAGAAACCCCGGUAGUCCACACAGUAAACGAUGUAUACUCGCGGUUUGCGAUAGAAUGUAAGCCGCCAAGCGAAAGCAUUAAGUAUACCACCUGGGGAGUACGCCGGCAACGGUGAAACUCAAAGGAAUUGACGGGGGCCCGCACAAGCGGAGGAACAUGUGGUUUAAUUCGAUGAUACGCGAGGAACCUUACCCGGGCUUGAACUAAGAGUGACGAAUCUAGAGAUAGAUUUUUCUUCGGACACUCUUGGAGGUGCUGCAUGGUUGUCGUCAGCUCGUGCCGUGAGGUGUCGGCUUAAGUGCCAUAACGAGCGCAACCCUUUUCCUUGGUUGCCAUCAGGUAAUGCUGGGCACUCCAGGG
RNAcentral lists this ribosomal RNA (365 nucleotides) under uncultured bacterium. RNAcentral describes it as "bacterial SSU rRNA". It matches the Rfam family "Bacterial small subunit ribosomal RNA", at positions 775 to 1145 of the family's 1533-position model. The record is from RNAcentral.